UGAGGCUUUCGGACUGGCCCAGAGAGGUGGGCAACUACCACUCAGGGCCGGAAAGUUAUCCAAACUCGGUCAUUUAGAGGAAGUAAAAGUCGUAACAAGGUCUCCGUUGGUGAACCAGCGGAGGGAUCAUUA
RNAcentral lists this ribosomal RNA (132 nucleotides) under Colletotrichum coccodes. Its description in RNAcentral is "partial 18S ribosomal RNA". It matches the Rfam family "Eukaryotic small subunit ribosomal RNA", at positions 1702 to 1831 of the family's 1831-position model. Lineage: Eukaryota; Fungi; Ascomycota; Sordariomycetes; Glomerellales; Glomerellaceae. The record is from RNAcentral.